CUCGGCAAUUCCCGUUCUUCAUCUAUUUAACCCCCCUUGUGCACUGUGAAGCGAGGUUGAUUGGAGUGCAAGCGAUUGCACUUGAAGAGACUAAGCUUUCAUUAUACAAACUCAAUUAUUGUCUUGUGGAAUGGUCAUAACAAAUGAUAAUACAACUUUCAACAACGGAUCUCUUGGCUCUCGCAUCGAUGAAGAACGCAGCGAAAUGCGAUAAGUAAUGUGAAUUGCAGAAUUCAGUGAAUCAUCGAAUCUUUGAACGCACCUUGCGCUCCUUGGUAUUCCGAGGAGCAUGCCUGUUUGAGUGUCAUGAUACUCUCAAUCUUAUUGAUUUUUGUUAAUGAGAUUGGAUGUGGAGGUCUGCUGGCUCCUAUUAUAGAGCCGGCUCCUCUGGAAUGCAUUAGCUGGGCUUUUGCUCGAUGCAACAGUGUAAUAAUAUUAUUGAUCACUGUGAAUGUAUCCUGCAUAACAAGUCUGCUUCGAAUCCGUCUCUCUCUACAAGAGAGACACUAUGGGAACUCGGUUCUCUGAUCUCUUUGACCUCAAAUCAGGUAGGACUACCCGCUGAACUUAAGCAUAUCAAUAAGCGGAGGA
Molecule: ribosomal RNA, 591 nt
Filed under: uncultured fungus
Lineage: Eukaryota; Fungi
Description: eukaryotic LSU rRNA
Rfam family: 5.8S ribosomal RNA (bases 154-307)
Source: RNAcentral